This 440-nucleotide ribosomal RNA is filed under the name uncultured bacterium. RNAcentral's name for it is "partial 16S ribosomal RNA". It matches the Rfam family "Bacterial small subunit ribosomal RNA", at positions 339 to 795 of the family's 1533-position model. The record is from RNAcentral.
CUACGGGCUGCUCCAGUGAGGAAUAUUACACAAUGGGGGGAACCCUGAUGCAGCAACGCCGCGUGGAGGAUGACGCAUUUCGGUGUGUAAACUCCUUUUAUAUGUCAAGAAAAUGACGGUAGCAUAUGAAUAAGCACCGGCUAACUCCGUGCACAGCAGCCGCGGUAAUACGGAGGGUGCAAGCGUUACUCGGAAUCACUGGGCGUAAAGGACGCGUAGGCGGGUUGGAAAGUCAGGUGUGAAAUCCUACAGCUUAACUGUAGAACUGCACUUGAAACUUCUAAUCUAGAGUAUGGGAGGGGGAGAUGGAAUUAGUGGUGUAGGGGUAAAAUCCGUAGAUAUCACUAGGAAUACCUAAAGCGAAGGCGAUCUCCUGGAACAUUACUGACGCUAAGGCGUGAAAGCGUGGGGAGCAAACAGGAUUAGAUACCCCGGUAGUC